UACAGAGGGGGCAAGCGUUGUUCGGAAUUACUGGGCGUAAAGGGCGCGUAGGCGGCCUGCUAAGUCGAACGUGAAAUCCCCGAGCUCAACUCGGGAACUGCGUCCGAUACUGGCAGGCUUGAAUCCGGGAGAGGGAUGCGGAAUUCCAGGUGUAGCGGUGAAAUGCGUAGAUAUCUGGAGGAACACCGGUGGCGAAGGCGGCAUCCUGGACCGGCAUUGACGCUGAGGCGCGAAAGCGUGGGGAGCAAACGGG
This 253-nucleotide ribosomal RNA is filed under the name uncultured bacterium. RNAcentral's name for it is "partial 16S ribosomal RNA". It matches the Rfam family "Bacterial small subunit ribosomal RNA", at positions 524 to 776 of the family's 1533-position model. The record is from RNAcentral.